AUGGCCGGGGGGGCAGGAGGGGGGCCGCCCCGCGACUGGCUCUCCGUAGACGAGACGGCGGCGGCCUUCCUCUCCCGCUCCCUCUCCACGCGCCCCCCCAUCCUCCUCCCGCCGUCGCUCCACCGCGCGCCGCUCCGCCCGGGAAACGUUGUUGAGAUCGCCGGCCCGUCUGGCUCCGGCAAGUCCCAGCUGCUCCUCAUGUCUGCAGUGCAGUGCAUACUACCAAAGGAGUGGGAAGGUGUCUAUUUCGGCGGCCUGGGGAAAGCAGUCAUGUACAUUGACUUGGACUGCCGAUUUGAUGUGCUGCGGCUGGCUCAGAUCCUCAGGAAGCGCAUUGCGGCGGGUUGUGGUUCAGUGCAUCAUGAAGAAUUUGAAACUGAUGGUUCAAAAGAUAAAUUCCGUUUGUUUGAAAGUACACUGUUUUCUGAUUGCAUGAAGCGUUUCCUGUAUGUCCGUUGUUACAAUAGUUCCGAACUUAUAGCUGCUUUGAAGAGUCUAAAAUCUCAAUCUGAAGCCAGGAACGAAAUUUUUGAUAUUGGUGUAUAUUUCCUUAUGUUAGACAGCAUUGGCGCAUUCUACUGGAUAGAUCGUGCUCUUCAACCUACUAGAGAGAGUAAAGGGAAAACUCUAUCAUUUCAGAGUAUCACCGAAACUGUUGUCCAGGAGAUACACAAGUUUUUGCAACUUCAACCUAUUUUGGUGUUGGUCACAAAGGCACCUAUUUAUGGUGAAGGAAUCACGACAUCAAACGACUUCCAAAGGGGUUCUCCAAAGUACAUGUCAGAGGAUUCAACACCUUUGGGAUAUCCGAAACGGGAAGAAGAAAGAAAUGGUUCAUGUCGCGAAUACAUGCCAUCUGCAUGGCAGACAUUUGUUACACACAGGAUAAAGUUGCAAGAUUUAGCACAAGAACCAGGGUUUUUCUCUGAGCAGGAAAAUGCAAUCCUUUCUGUGCAUACUUGUGAGUGGGUGCAGCCUUCCCUAAACUCAAAAGAGAAGUUCUAUAUCAAGGAUGACGGUGUUGGCCUUAUACAGUGA
This 1038-nucleotide ribosomal RNA is filed under the name Triticum aestivum (bread wheat). Its description in RNAcentral is "partial small subunit ribosomal RNA". The record is from RNAcentral. Lineage: Eukaryota; Viridiplantae; Streptophyta; Magnoliopsida; Poales; Poaceae.